RNAcentral lists this ribosomal RNA (253 nucleotides) under uncultured bacterium. Its description in RNAcentral is "partial 16S ribosomal RNA". It matches the Rfam family "Bacterial small subunit ribosomal RNA", at positions 524 to 776 of the family's 1533-position model. The record is from RNAcentral.
GACGAACCGUGCGAACGUUGUUCGGAAUCACUGGGCUUAAAGGGAGCGUAGGCGGGCUAUCAAGUCUGGGGUGAAAUCCCACGGCUCAACCGUGGAACUGCCUCAGAUACUGACGGCCUCGAGGGAGAUAGGGGCAUGCGGAACUGUAGGUGGAGCGGUGAAAUGCGUUGAUAUCUACAGGAACUCCGGUGGCGAAAGCGGCGUGCUGGAUCUCUUCUGACGCUGAGGCUCGAAAGCUAGGGGAGCAAACGGG